CCCAGACUCCUACGGGAGGCAGCAGUGGGGAAUAUUGCACAAUGGGGGGAACCCUGAUGCAGCGACGCCGCGUGGGUGAAGGAGUACUUCGGUACGUAAAGCCCUAUCAGCAGGAAAGAAAAUGACGGUACCUGACUAAGAAGCCCCGGCUAACUACGUGCCAGCAGCCGCGGUAAUACGUAGGGGGCAAGCGUUAUCCGGAUUUACUGGGUGUAAAGGGAGCGUAGACGGCAGUGCAAGUCCGGAGUGAAAGCCCGGGGCUCAACCCUGGGACUGCUCUGGAAACUGUAAAGCUGGAGUGCGGGAGGGGCAGGCGGAAUUCCUGGUGUAGCGGUGAAAUGCGUAGAUAUCAGGAGGAACACCGGCGGCGAAGGCGGUCUGCUGGACCGUAACUGACGUUGAGGCUCGAAAGCGUGGGGAGCAAACAGGAUUAGAUACCCGUGUA
This 445-nucleotide ribosomal RNA is filed under the name uncultured bacterium. Its description in RNAcentral is "bacterial SSU rRNA". It matches the Rfam family "Bacterial small subunit ribosomal RNA", at positions 330 to 792 of the family's 1533-position model. The record is from RNAcentral.